RNAcentral lists this ribosomal RNA (481 nucleotides) under uncultured bacterium. RNAcentral describes it as "partial 16S ribosomal RNA". It matches the Rfam family "Bacterial small subunit ribosomal RNA", at positions 28 to 507 of the family's 1533-position model. The record is from RNAcentral.
GACGAACGCUGGCGGCGUGCUUAACACAUGCAAGUCGAACGCUGAAGCUCAGCUUGCUGGGUGGAUGAGUGGCGAACGGGUGAGUAACACGUGAGUAACCUGCCCCCUUCUUUGGGAUAACGCCCGGAAACGGGUGCUAAUACUGGAUAUUCACUGAUCUUCGCAUGGGGGUUGGUGGAAAGGUUUUUUCUGGUGGGGGAUGGGCUCGCGGCCUAUCAGCUUGUUGGUGGGGUGAUGGCCUACCAAGGCUUUGACGGGUAGCCGGCCUGAGAGGGUGACCGGGCACAUUGGGACUGAGAUGCGGCCCAGACGCCUACGGGAGGCAGCAGUGGGGAAUAUUGCACAAUGGGCGAAAGCCUGAUGCAGCGACGCCGCGUGAGGGAUGGAGGCCUUCGGGUUGUAAACCUAUUUAGCUCAUGGUCAAGCCGCAACAUUGGUUGUGGUGAGGGUAGUGGGUAAAGAAGCGCCGGCUAACUACGUG